This 248-nucleotide ribosomal RNA is filed under the name Salmonella enterica. RNAcentral's name for it is "partial 16S ribosomal RNA". It matches the Rfam family "Bacterial small subunit ribosomal RNA", at positions 1 to 245 of the family's 1533-position model. RNAcentral also lists the same sequence under 2 other names. The record is from RNAcentral. Lineage: Bacteria; Pseudomonadati; Pseudomonadota; Gammaproteobacteria; Enterobacterales; Enterobacteriaceae.
AAAUUGAAGAGUUUGAUCAUGGCUCAGAUUGAACGCUGGCGGCAGGCCUAACACAUGCAAGUCGAACGGUAACAGGAAGCAGCUUGCUGCUUCGCUGACGAGUGGCGGACGGGUGAGUAAUGUCUGGGAAACUGCCUGAUGGAGGGGGAUAACUACUGGAAACGGUGGCUAAUACCGCAUAACGUCGCAAGACCAAAGAGGGGGACCUUCGGGCCUCUUACCAUCAGAUGUGCCCAGAUGGGAUUAGC